Molecule: long non-coding RNA, 354 nt
Filed under: Chinchilla lanigera (long-tailed chinchilla)
Lineage: Eukaryota; Metazoa; Chordata; Mammalia; Rodentia; Chinchillidae
Description: lncRNA (ENSCLAG00000025693.1)
Source: RNAcentral
AGAUUUCUGAUUUCUCCAUUUUCCCUUCUAUCCAGGGAGCUCCCCAAACCAGCUAUGGCUAGCAACGUUCUAAUUCUGCUGAGGCACUGUGAAGUCAGGCUUCCAGAUCCCAUCUGCUCCCUACCUCAGUGUGAACAAUACUGUGGUGAUAUUUUGGUAUGCAUCUUUAUGUGAAAGGAUGAUAGAAAUGCUUCUUGAGAAUGAAAUUAAAAUUGGAGACCUAGUGACUUUUGCAACUAAAUCAGUGCUUUACAGCUUCCUUUGAACUAUUGCAACUUCUGUAAUACAUUAUACUGAUAACAUGCACUGGAUAAACCCAAAGAAACAAUGCACAAGAGAUUUAAGGAAGAAUGA